This 465-nucleotide ribosomal RNA is filed under the name uncultured bacterium. RNAcentral describes it as "bacterial SSU rRNA". It matches the Rfam family "Bacterial small subunit ribosomal RNA", at positions 338 to 795 of the family's 1533-position model. The record is from RNAcentral.
CCUACGGGAUGCAGCAGUGGGGAAUAUUGCACAAUGGGCGCAAGCCUGAUGCAGCCAUGCCGCGUGUAUGAAGAAGGCCUUCGGGUUGUAAAGUACUUUCGGCGAGGAGGAAGGCAUUAAGGUUAAUAACCUUAGUGAUUGACGUUACUCGCAGAAGAAGCACCGGCUAACUCCGUGCCAGCAGCCGCGGUAAUACGGAGGGUGCAAGCGUUAAUCGGAAUUACUGGGCGUAAAGCGCACGCAGGCGGUCUGUCAAGUCGGAUGUGAAAUCCCCGGGCUCAACCUGGGAACUGCAUUCGAAACUGGCAGGCUAGAGUCUUGUAGAGGGGGGUAGAAUUCCAGGUGUAGCGGUGAAAUGCGUAGAGAUCUGGAGGAAUACCGGUGGCGAAGGCGGCCCCCUGGACAAAGACUGACGCUCGGGUGCGAAGGCGUGGGGAGCAAACAGGAUUAGAUACCCCGGUAGUC